AUUGAACGCUGGCGGCAUGCUUUACACAUGCAAGUCGAGCGGCAGCGCGGGGGCAACCCUGGCGGCGAGCGGCGAACGGGUGAGUAAUGCAUCGGAACGUAUCCUCGAGUGGGGGAUAACCCAGCGAAAGUUGGGCUAAUACCGCAUGAGCUCUGAGGAGGAAAGCGGGGGACCUGCGAGGGCCUCGCGCUGGAGGUGCGGCCGAUGUCCGAUUAGCUAGUUGGUGGGGUAAAGGCUUACCAAGGCGACGAUCGGUAGCUGGUCUGAGAGGAUGAUCAGCCACACUGGGACUGAGACACGGCCCAGACUCCUACGGGAGGCAGCAGUGGGGAAUUUUGGACAAUGGGGGCAACCCUGAUCCAGCCAUGCCGCGUGAGUGAAGAAGGCCUUCGGGUUGUAAAGCUCUUUCGGACGGAACGAAAUGGGCGGGACUAAUACUCCUGUCUGAUGACGGUACCGUAAGAAGAAGCACCGGCUAACUACGUG
RNAcentral lists this ribosomal RNA (486 nucleotides) under uncultured bacterium. RNAcentral describes it as "partial 16S ribosomal RNA". It matches the Rfam family "Bacterial small subunit ribosomal RNA", at positions 29 to 507 of the family's 1533-position model. The record is from RNAcentral.